RNAcentral lists this ribosomal RNA (212 nucleotides) under uncultured bacterium. RNAcentral's name for it is "partial 16S ribosomal RNA". It matches the Rfam family "Bacterial small subunit ribosomal RNA", at positions 1290 to 1500 of the family's 1533-position model. The record is from RNAcentral.
AGUUCAGAUUGCAGGACUGCAACUCGCCUGCAUGAAGUCGGAAUUGCUAGUAAUCGCAGAUCAGCAUGCUGCGGUGAAUACGUUCCCGGGCCUUGUACACACCGCCCGUCACACCAUGGGAGUCGGUAACACCCGAAGUCGGUAGCCUAACCGUAAGGAGGGCGCCGCCGAAGGUGGGAUUGAUGACUGGGGUGAAGUCGUAACAAGGUAAC